Molecule: long non-coding RNA, 8938 nt
Filed under: Ananas comosus (pineapple)
Lineage: Eukaryota; Viridiplantae; Streptophyta; Magnoliopsida; Poales; Bromeliaceae
Description: long non-coding RNA (ACOM_LNC033164)
Source: RNAcentral
ACGUGCCCUCGGCACAAUCUGACGUCAAAACGGCAAUAUGGGUCCACCGUCAACCCCGACGGCCCCCAAUAGUCUGCAACAGUUUGAAAGCUACUGUAAAAAUACACUCGGCAUCCCAGCACGAGCGUAACUGAAAUCUAAACUAUCUGAAGUAUCCACCACGCCGAUACUGCGGAGAUACAAAAUAACAACGGCUCCUAGAGCUAAAUCCGGUAGUUUAAGCAUGUGACAGGUUCAAUCGUAGGUUUUCUCCUAAGUUAUAUCCAAGUCCAACAUGUGCAAGUAGAUUUAGUAACACUAGGCUCCAAUUCAGAUUUUUGUAAAAGAAACACCAAAUCCAUGAAUCGAGCAAAUAGAAUAUGCAAAAAUAACUACAACGACACAUGCCGACUAUCUCUAUAUACUUAGAAGACAAACCGACGAUUAACCCACCUCAAAAGCUACUCCCAAUCCGGCACGACGUCAAGAACGGUGGAAAUGCACCCUCGCCCGGCCUCCCCGUAGUGCUACGACGACGAAGACACGCUCGAAUGGCACCGCGGCGCGAUGCCAACGACACCGGAACUUCACCCGAGCUCCUCCACCACGGACGAUCAAGCACAAGGGGAAGAGAGAGAGAGCGCACUAAUCCUCUCCUCUCUGAUCUCUCUAUCCUAUAUAGGGAGGGAGAAGGGGUGGUAAUACAAACAAGACAAGAGAAUUACCAAAAAGCCCCUUGCCUACCGUGGUGUACCGGUACACGGGCAUUUGUACUGGUACAAAUGGCAACCCGAGAGCAGUCUGCGCGGGGACAUGCGUUGUGUACCGGUACACCUCUGAUGUUGUACCGGAACAGCAAGAUGUACUGGUACGCCUUGAUGGUUGUACCGGUACAGCAAGCAGAAAAUCUGCAUUUUGUAGAUUCCAGCCCUAACUCAUGCCCUCGCGUCUCCACUGAGUCCAUUCGGCGUCCAUUUCGUGCCAACGCGACUCGGACUUGUCCCGACACUCCCCCGAUGUGUCGACAAGCCUCACCUGCUGUACUCCAGGGAUACCACAUCCUUCCCCACUACAAAAAGUUUCGUCAUCGAAACUUAAGCAUACCUCCACGCUGAGCAUCAAACAGGUAAGGGUAGGACUCCCUCAUCACCGUCUCGGGCUCCCAAGUCGCCUCUCGUUCCUCGUAAUUACUCCACUACACCUUCACAGACGGGAUGACCCAAUUGCGCAAUUCUUUCGUCUCCCAAGCAAGAAUUCGCAAUGGUCGCUCCUCGUAUCUCAGAUCCUUGCCAAUCUCUAGUGGAGUGAAGUCAAUCACGUGGGAGGGGUCGAAAACAUAUCUCCUCAAUGCCGAGACGUGGAAUACAUCAUGGAUACCGGCUAGUCCGGGAGGUAGAGCAAUCCUAUAAGCAAUCGGUCCAAUUAGCUCCAAUACCUCAAAAGGGCCAACGAAACGUGGAUUGAGCUUUCCACGCACUCCGAAUCUGCGAAUCCCUCUGGACGGCGAGACUUUGAGAAAAACAUGAUCUCCAACUUGGAACUCCAAGUCUCGUCUCCUGGUAUCGGCGUAGCUCCUCUGGUGGCUCUGGGCUGUCAAAAGGUGUCGUCGAACAACUCUCACCUUUUCCUCAGCCUCUAGCAAGAUCCCAGGCCCUAGCAUCUUUCUUUCACCCACAUCACUCCAAAACAAAGGGGAUCGACAUUUGCCUCCAUACAACGCUUCAAACGAAGCUAUCUGGAUGCUCGUUUGAUAGCUGUUGUUGUACGCAAACUCAGCCAGUCUCAAAUGUCGAUACCACCCUCCUCCAAAGUCCAGGACGCAUGUCCUCAGCAUGCCCUUUAUAGUCUGAAUGGUCCUCUCUAACUGACCAUCUGUCUGUGGGUGAAACGUCGUGCUGAAGUGCAACUGUGUACCCAAGGCUGUCUGUAGACUCCUCCAAAAGUGCGAAACAAACCUCGGGUCCCUAUCUGAUACAAUCGAUCUCGGCACACCAUGCAGCCUGACAAUCUCAUCCAGAUAUAGCUACGCGAGUCUCUCCCUGGACCAGAUGGUCUGCACUGGUAGGAAGUGAGCAGACUUGGUCAGUCUGUCUACUAUCACCCAUAUAGCAUCAAAGCCACCCUGUGCUUUAGGCAAUCCCACGACGAAAUCCAUCGUGAUCUGCUCCUAUUUCCACUUGGACACUGACAGACUCUGAAGCUUGCCAGCAGGUAUCUGAUGCUCGGCCUUUACCUGUUGACAAGUCAGACACUGAGCCACAAAUUUACCACUGUCCCUCUUCAUUCCGUUCCACCAGAAUUGUGCCUUCAAGUCCUUAUACAUCUUGGUUCUGUCAGGGUGAGCCAUAUAAGGAGCACAAUGAGCCUCUCUCAAAAUAUCCGCUCGGAUCUCUAAAUCCAUAGGCACACACAGUCGGUCCUUGUACUGCAUACUCUCGAACUGUCCACUACGAAGCCCUCAGCCUGUCCCCUCUCUAGCUGCUCUUGAAUCCUCAAUAAGUGUGGAUCUCCACUCUGUUUCUCUCGAAUCCUAUCCAACAGAGUGGGCUGCAAGACCAUAGACAUUAGUCUCGCAGUAGACCCAGGGGACACUAUCUCGCGCCUCAACCGCUGCAGCUUCUCGAGUAACGGCCUCUGCUGUAUGAUCAUCAGACUCAAGUUCUGCACUGCCUUUCUGCUCAACACAUCUGCCACCACAUUUGCCUUGCCGGGAUGAUACUGAAUACUAACGUCAUAGUCCUUCAGUAACUCCAACCACUGGCGUUGCCUCAGGUUCAGCUCCCUCUGGGUGAACAGAUGCUUGAGACUUUUAUGAUUGGUGAAAACCUCACAGUGCUCGCCGUACAAGUAAUGCCGCCACAACUUCAAAGCAAAAACUACCGCGGCAAACUCCAAGUUAUGCUUAGGGUAAUUCUUCUCAUAAUCCUUUAACUGCUGUGAAGCAUAAGCAAUUACUCUACCAUACUGCAUCAGCACACAACCCAAACCACUGUGCGAUGCAUCACUAUAAAUCACAAAGCCUUCCCCCAUCAUAGGAAAGGCAAGGAUAGGAGCUGAUGUCAACCUCUGUCUCAACUCAUCAAAGCUCCUCUGACAAUCCUCACUCCAGAUGAAUCGAAAUCCCUUUCUAGUCAAUCGAGUGAGGGGUGUGGAAAGCUUCGCAAAGCCUUCUACAAAUCGACGGUAAUAUCCUGCCAGUCCAAGGACACUCCUCACCUCAGUCACCGUCGUCGGUCUGGGCCAAUCCCGAAUAGCAUCGAUCUUCUUCGGGUCCAUUGCUACUUCCUCAGCAGAAAUCACGUGGCCCAAGAAAGCAACCUUCCGCAACUAAAACUCGUACUUCUUCAACUUGGCAUACAACUUCUUCUCUCGCAGAAGCUGUAGCACAGUCCUCAAGUGCUCUUCAUGCUCAGCAUCACUCCGGGAGUAAAUUAAGAUAUCGUCGAUGAAGACUACUACAAAUCUAUCCAAGAACAGCUUAAACACUCUGUUCAUCAAAUCCAUGAAUGUGGCAGGGGCAUUCGUCAAUCCAAAAGGCAUGACUGUAAACUCAUAAUGCCCGUACCGAGUCCGAAAAGCCGUCUUGGAGACAUCCUCGGCCCUCACCCUCAACUGGUGGUAACCUGACUGGAGGUCAAUCUUCGAGAAGACACAAGAUCCUUAUAGCUGAUCAAACAAAUCAUCAAUGCGCGGCAAAGGAUACUUGUUCAUGAUGGUCACCUUAUUCAGCUCCCGGUAAUCCACACAUGACCUGAGCGAACCAUCCUUCUUCUUUACAAAUAACACCGGCGCUCCCCAAGGCGACACACUGGGUCUCACAUACCCCUUAUCCAUCAGAUCCUGAAGCUGCGCCAUUAACUCUCUCAGCUCCGCCGGUGCCAUCUGAUAAGGUAUCUUUGAGAUUGGUGCAAUUCCAGGAACUACAUCAAUCACGAACUAAAUCUCCCUCUCCGGCGGCAUCGUCGUCAACUCUGGAGGAAAUCCAUCCGGAAACUCGCGGACUACAAGAAUAUCCUCGAGUCCCGGCGCCGCUGUAGGUACCUUAGUAAUUGCUGCUAGAAAAGCGAUGCAUCCUCUACUCAUCAGCUGUCAAACCCUCUCGAAAGAAAUCCAAGUUGCAAAUAACGUGCUCCUGCAGCCCCUAAAAGUGGACUCCUCUUGGCCUGGCUCGCGGAACGUCACCGUCUUCGCUCCACAAUCAAUAGUAGUAUAGUACCGCACCAGCCAGUCCAUACUGAGCACAACGUCAAAGUCCUGCAGCUGCCCUAACACCAACAGGUCUGCGGGAAUGAUCCACGAAUCCAACUGCACCGGACAUGACUAACAACACUCUGCAACUGUAACACGUGGUCGGGGAUCUGCACAUCUCGUGUCUGUGAUAAUGACCCUAACUCUAGACCAUACAACAAUGCAAAUGCUCGGCUAACAAAGAAAUGCGAUGCACCGGUAUCAAAAAGUGUACGAGCUCUAAUGCCAGAAAUCAAAAUGAUACCUGCCACCACUCGGUCAGCUGCUGUAGAGUCCUCCACUUGGGCUGCAUAGACCCUGCCACUCGGAGCUUGUUGUCGCCGCUCACUCUGACGUGGCACAGACGAUCUGUCCUCCUGGCGGAAACUCGGAGCUGCUUCAAAAGACUGCGGGGAUGCUGGCUGUGCAGAUGCUAUGGAUGGUGCUUGUGACGCCCCAACUUCCCAGGGGGUCACCCAUCCUAGGACUACUCCCGUCCUAGCACGCUUAAUUCUCUUAACCUCUUGGGCCUUGCCACCACCCAAAUUGCUUAAGCCGGGUUAAGAGUUUAGCCCUAUUAUAUCUCAUACAUAGGACUAUCUGGGGUCUCACAAUCUCCCCUCCUUUAAGCCCUGACGUCCUCGUCAGGCUCAGACUCACAAGUACCAGGCGAUGUGAGACUCAUCUCGCUAGCCCGUCAUCCAGACCCUGGCUCAGCCAAGACUCAUCUCACACUUCCGGCUGGUAAUUGGCUCUGAUACCAUAUGUGACGCCCCGACUUCCCAGGGGAUCACCCAUCCUAGGACUACUCCCGUCCUAGCAUGCUUAACUCUCUUAACCUCUUGGGUCUAGCCACCACCCAAAAUACUUAAGCUGGGUUAAGAGUUUAGCCCUAUUAUAUCUCAUAUAUAGGACUAUCUGGGGUCUCACAGUGCUGGUGAUGCUGCUCAAGGACAAGCUGAUCUCAUAUGCCCGGGCUGACCGCAACUGUAAUACUUGCCCUCUCUCUGGUCGCACUGCCGGGGCCAGUGGGGUCCCCCACAGAUCACACACUGUGAUGUCCUCUGUGGCUGUCCCUGCUGACGGAAUCCUCGAGAACGCUGAUGCCCCGAAGACCCACGACCCUAAGACCGUGAUUGUGGCGGUCUCGGCGAACGCCUGCUGCUCGACGGUCCUGCGUCAUCUGGAAAGGGGCACUUCCUGUCCUGACUCUGCCCCACUGCCUGAGUCCUCUCCCGAAUGGAUGCAUCACCCCUCUCUACCCAAAGAGCCUGCUCCAUUGACGCAUCCAAGAUCCGCAACCUCUGCGCCUGAACCAAUCGGAAGAUCUUGGGCCUCAAACCCUACUCAAAGAGGUAAACUCUGUGCGCCUCAUCCCUGGCCACAAUCGAAACACAGUUCAGGAGUUGAGUGAACUCCUGAAUAUACUCUCGGACUGUUCGCUCGCCAUGCUGAAUCCUCUUCAGAUCCUCCUUAAGCUUCUAUUUCACGCUGUUGGGAAAAUACAUCCCGAACAGCAUUCCAUAGAACUUGUCCUACUUCAGCUGCAACGUCACUAAUCAAUAAUCUCGCCUCACCCUCCUCCACGAGGCGUGAGCAUCGCCUGCUAAGCAGUGUACUCCCAUAGGCACCUGCUCCCUCUCAGGAAUGAACAGAUCCUCAAAAAACUUCUCCAUCGCGCUGACCCAAACCUCAACCACCCAAGUCUCCGUGCAACUGCCAUCAAAGGUCGGUGGGUCAAAACGACGGAAACGGGCAAGUCUCUCAGCUAUCCGCUCCUGCUCAGCCUCAGUCAGUUGUGGGGCCUCACCAAAAGCGGCAACUGGCGCUGGGGGAACUGUCGCUGGUAGGGGCACGACUGCGGCUGGUGCUGCCACUUGAGUAAUAGGGGGUGGAGCUGAUGACUCUAGUGCUCUCGGUGUUGAACUCGGGGGCGGAGCUAACCUCUCACACAUCCUCUCCAACAACUCCCCCUGCCGCUUCGUCACCUCUGUCAAGGCGGCCAGCUGCGCUUUCAAAUCAGGGGAUGCACUUGUCUCCGGUCAGACACUCCGCUCCACAACAGGGGGUGCACUCGCCCCUGGUCGGGUACUCCGUUCCGUCUGCUCGGGCAUAUCAGAAGGUCCCGCAUGAUCCUGCGUCAAUUGGGCAAAUUGAAAAACGGUGCAAAGGUUGGGAACCAAUGGUGUAAUUAACCCAUUAAAUUUAUAAAUUCAAUUUUUUUAAAAAAAUUUAAGAUUUAAUUUUUAAAUUUAAAAUUUGAUUUUGGAUUCAAAUUUAAAUUGGAAUUCAAAUUCCGAUUUUGAAUUUAACUUUAAAUCCAAAUUCACAUUUCGAAUUCUAAAUUCUAAUUUAAUUUCAAACUUCGAUUUGAAAUUUCAAAUUCAAAAUGUGAAUUUGAAUUCGAAGUUUAAAUUCAAAUUUAGAAUUGAAAUCAAAUCUUAAAUUCAAAUUUAAAUUUUGAAUUCAAAUUUAGAAUUUAAAAUCAAAAUUUUGAAUAUGAUUUUAAAAUUAAAUUUGGUUUUAAAUUUAAAUUCAGAUUUUAAAUUUAAAUUUUGGUUUCUAAACUUUCAUUUUAAAUGUAAAUUGAAAUAUCAAAAUCAAAAUCAAAAUUUUAAAUUUGAAUUCAAAAUUUAGAUUCAAUUAAAAAUUUAAAUUUAAAAUUUGAAUUUCAAUUCAAAAUUUUAAUUCAGUUUUAAAUUCAAAUUCAAAAUUCUAAUUUCUGGUUAAUAAAAUUUUAAUUUUAAUAUUAUUUUUGAAUUUAAAAUUAAAAUUUUGAAUUUUUAUUUUUAGGGACUAAAGUGAAAAACGUGCAAAGUUUAGGGACCUAAAUUAACAUGCAAAAGAAUGCCAAUAGGCGCUGAUGUGGCGAUUCCAUUAAUUUUAAUAGUUAUUUUAACGGUUGGGACGUAAUUAUAAUAGAAUAAAGAGAUUAGGAACUCAAUUGAAAAAAAAAAAAGGUUGGGCAUCCAAGUGAAAAUUGGUGCAAAGGUUUGGGACUACUGGUGUAAUUAACCAAAAAAAAAAAGAAAUAAUAGGAAUGUCUCUGUCGUGAUCGUAUCUCUAUACAAACUCAUAUGGUGGCAAAAUUCAUUGUGCGUCAGCUGGAAUUGGAUAUCAGGUAAAUAGAGUCGUACGACCCAAUCGCAUAGGCCGGCUCAUAGGUCCUACCAAGCCUGCACUGUCACAAGCCCAAUAUGAUAGAUCUGUAUAGGUAUGUAAAAUAAGAAGAAAAUUAAAUACAUACAAAAAUUCAGGAUCAAAAUAAAAUAACUCACAGAGUGCCAUAGAGAAGAAAUUCUUGAUCAAUCUACGGAAGCAAGAAGUUCAGCUAUAAUUUGGAAGUCAUGAACCAAACUUGGAUAAUUUGGUUUCUCCUCCUAUCUCAGGUACUCUCCCGUAUGGUGUGGAACCGAUAGUAUUUCUUUACCAGAAUGCGUAUGAGAAGGUGGCAAGACCAAUACCCCUUUAUAUUGAGUCUAAAUCAACUUUCCAUCAAAGUCUGAUUAGGAUUCUAUUUAAUUUAAAUAGAUGGAAUAGGAAUAAAAUAUACCAUACCAAAUAGUUCUAUAUCUAUUAUGAUUGACCUUUAUCUAUAAUAAAUCCAGAUUUGAAUAUGAUUAUGUCACGCCCCGGAUUACACGUUCCUCAGGCACGCCGACAAAUUCGCCAUACACAAAGAAAUUUUUCCUGUAUACGAAGCGUAGCUGUACCUGUAACACAUACAAUACUACAACCAGUAGUAUAGAGCUACUCGAAUAAAACUGGUAAAAACAUGAACAAGUUCCAUAUACAUACAUACAUCCAAAUAUACAAAAAGCUCGCCCAGCGAGAUAUAACAAGUAUGUAUAAGAAACUCAAAAACUAGCACUACCUGCAGCUGGUAACCUCUCGAACAGCAGCAACUGGGAAGGGCUCUAACUGGCAACGCCUUUGCCACGAUCAGUCUCCGAGGAAGCAGCAGCCGGAACAGCAGGCUCUGCAAAAAUAGGGUAACAACUGGGCGUGAAAACUACUGUAAAAAUAAGUAGUCCUCAAUGGGUACCGCCCUCAACAUCGUCGGUCCACCCACCAAGUCUACAGAAGGAAGCAAAGAUAGUAGGAAAAGCUGAAAAAAAUCUACAGCUAAAUGUCGCUACACUAUCCUGCUCUACACUAACCAACUGUAAUAAAAGUCAGUCCUGACCCAAUCUCACUAGUAACUAUAGGCAUACUCGUCCCUGGGACUGUGAACACACCCGUCCCACCCGGUUGCGACUAUAUAGAUACCUCCACACUAAGCGGUCCGUGGAGAGCAAGUCCAACCUGCACAAUCGACACCAAUGCGAAAGCAGAACGCCCGUCUCCGAAGUGGCAAUCGUGGGAACUACCCAACCGAGUAUGCAGCGUAUCUCUGUCGAGCUCAAUCAGGCUCACAAAUCAAAGUCAAGUAAAUCAGGUCCAACUGGUCUAACAACUAACAAGUCACGUGCCCUCAGCACAAUCUGACGCCAAAACGGCAAUAUGGGUCCACCGUCAACCCCGACGGCCCCCAAUAGUCCGGAACAGUCUGAAAGCUACUGUAAAAAUACACUCGGCAUCCCAGCACGAGCAUAACUGAAAUCUAAAAUACCUGAAAUAUCCACCACGCCGAUACUGCGGCAAUAUAAAAUAACAACGGCUCCUAGAGCUAAAUCCGAUAGUUUAAGCAUAUGCCAGGUUCAAAUCACAGGUUUUCUCCUAAGUCAUAUCC